GUGAAUCAUCAAAUUUUUGAACGCAAAUUGCACUCUCUGGCAUUCCGGGGAGUAUGCCUGUUUGAGGGUCAGUUUAAAUAAAAAUCGAGGUGUUCCUUUUUUGUGACCCAGCGGACUUGGGUUAUCUUUGAUCUUUUAAAGGUUUAAGUGACCUAAAGUUGAUACCUUGCGCAUCUCAGACGUACAUAAGAAUAUUUUUUUAUCCAUCCGGAGUUACCAACUUUUAUUAGGUAUGACCAUAUUGUUUGUGGCAUCGUAUCUAUAAUCUAUACUCAUCUUUUGACCUCAA
This 289-nucleotide unclassified non-coding RNA is filed under the name Glomeraceae sp. RNAcentral's name for it is "partial contains 5.8S ribosomal RNA and internal transcribed spacer 2". The stretch from base 1 to 71 matches the Rfam family "5.8S ribosomal RNA", at positions 84 to 154 of the family's 154-position model. Lineage: Eukaryota; Fungi; Glomeromycota; Glomeromycetes; Glomerales; Glomeraceae. The record is from RNAcentral.